UGGCGGCGUGCCUAAUACAUGCAAGUCGAGCGAACAGAUAAGGAGCUUGCUCCUUUGACGUUAGCGGCGGACGGGUGAGUAACACGUGGAUAACCUACCUAUAAGACUGGGAUAACUUCGGGAAACCGGAGCUAAUACCGGAUAAGAUUUUGAACCGCAUGGUUCAAUAGUGAAAGACGGCCUUGCUGUCACUUAUAGAUGGAUCCGCGCCGUAUUAGCUAGUUGGUAAGGUAACGGCUUACCAAGGCAACGAUACGUAGCCGACCUGAGAGGGUGAUCGGCCACACUGGAACUGAGACACGGUCCAGACUCCUACGGGAGGCAGCAGUAGGGAAUCUUCCGCAAUGGGCGAAAGCCUGACGGAGCAACGCCGCGUGAGUGAUGAAGGUCUUCGGAUCGUAAAACUCUGUUAUCAGGGAAGAACAAACGUGUAAGUAACUGUGCACGUCUUGACGGUACCUGAUCAGAAAGCCACGGCUAACUACGUGCCAGCAGCCGGGUAAAUAG
RNAcentral lists this ribosomal RNA (507 nucleotides) under Staphylococcus pasteuri. Its description in RNAcentral is "bacterial SSU rRNA". It matches the Rfam family "Bacterial small subunit ribosomal RNA", at positions 37 to 527 of the family's 1533-position model. Lineage: Bacteria; Bacillati; Bacillota; Bacilli; Caryophanales; Staphylococcaceae. The record is from RNAcentral.